Molecule: ribosomal RNA, 464 nt
Filed under: uncultured Sphingomonas sp.
Lineage: Bacteria; Pseudomonadati; Pseudomonadota; Alphaproteobacteria; Sphingomonadales; Sphingomonadaceae
Description: bacterial SSU rRNA
Rfam family: Bacterial small subunit ribosomal RNA
Source: RNAcentral
CGAAGCCCUUCGGGCUUAGUGGCGCACGGGUGCGUAACGCGUGGGAAUCUGCCCUUGGGUUCGGAAUAACAGUUAGAAAUGACUGCUAAUACCGGAUAAUGUCUUCGGACCAAAGAUUUAUUGCCCAAGGAUGAGCCCGCGUAGGAUUAGCUUGUUGGUGAGGUAAAGGCUCACCAAGGCGACUAUCCUUAGCUGGUCUGAGAGGAUGAUCAGCCACACUGGGACUGAGACACGGCCCAGACUCCUACGGGAGGCAGCAGUGGGGAAUAUUGGACAAUGGGCGAAAGCCUGAUCCAGCAAUGCCGCGUGAGUGAUGAAGGCCUUAGGGUUGUAAAGCUCUUUUACCCGGGAUGAUAAUGACAGUACCGGGAGAAUAAGCCCCGGCUAACUCCGUGCCAGCAGCCGCGGUAAUACGGAGGGGGCUAGCGUUGUUCGGAAUUACUGGGCGUAAAGCGCACGUAGGC